Molecule: ribosomal RNA, 400 nt
Filed under: uncultured bacterium
Lineage: Bacteria
Description: bacterial SSU rRNA
Rfam family: Bacterial small subunit ribosomal RNA
Source: RNAcentral
UAAGGAAUAUUGGGCAAUGGGCGCAAGCCUGACCCAGCGACACCGCGUGCAUGAAGAAGGUCUUCGGAUUGUAAAGUGCUGUUCCGUGUUAAGAAAAGCCCUAGGUGAAUAAUGCUAGGGGCUUGACUAAGGCGCGGGAGGAAGAGAUUGCUAACUCUGUGCCAGCAGCAGCGGUAAUACAGAGAUCUCAACCGUUAUUCGGAAUUACUGGGCUUAAAGGGUGAGUAGGCUGUGAACAAAGUUGGUUGUAAAAUACUCUGACUUAAACAGAGAAAGUCAGCCAAAACUAGUUUACUAGAGUGUGGUAGGGGGGAGUGGAACUUCUGGUGGAGCGGUGAAAUGCGUUGAUAUCAGAAGGAACGCCGGAGGCGAAAGCGACUCUCUGGACCACAACUGACGC